GAUGAACGCUGGCGGCGUGCCUAAUACAUGCAAGUCGAGCGAACAGAUGAGGAGCUUGCUCCUCUGACGUUAGCGGCGGACGGGUGAGUAACACGUGGAUAACCUACCUAUAAGACUGGGAUAACUUCGGGAAACCGGAGCUAAUACCGGAUAAUAUAUUGAACCGCAUGGUUCAAUAGUGAAAGACGGUUUUGCUGUCUCUUAUAGAUGGAUCCGCGCCGCAUUAGCUAGUUGGUAAGGUAACGGCUUACCAAGGCAACGAUGCGUAGCCGACCUGAGAGGGUGAUCGGCGACCCUGGAACUGAGACACGGUCCAGGCUCCUACGGGAGGCAGCAGUAGGGAAUCUUACGCAAUGGGCGAAAGCCUGACGGAGCAACGCCGCGUGAGUGAUGAAGGUCUUCGGAUCGUAAAACUCUGUUAUUAGGGAAGAACAAAUGUGUAAGUAACUAUGCACGUCUUGACGGUACCUAAUCAGAAAGCCACGGCUAACUACGUG
RNAcentral lists this ribosomal RNA (497 nucleotides) under uncultured bacterium. RNAcentral describes it as "partial 16S ribosomal RNA". It matches the Rfam family "Bacterial small subunit ribosomal RNA", at positions 28 to 507 of the family's 1533-position model. The record is from RNAcentral.